Molecule: unclassified non-coding RNA, 1102 nt
Filed under: Leishmania donovani
Lineage: Eukaryota; Euglenozoa; Kinetoplastea; Trypanosomatida; Trypanosomatidae
Description: gene:LdHU3.09.0080(CDS-product:N-acetyl-D-acetylg lucosaminylphosphatidylinositol_deacetylase)
Source: RNAcentral
CAUUCCGUUUUCCUGUUGUGCUGGUGCCGAAGGGCAGCGGGACUACCACGCGGGCACACGUGUUGUGGCUUCGCUGUUCUUGUCACUUGGGCUGCUGAAGUGGACCCCGGCGUGGCAGGGGCCGCAAAAUGCACAGUAUCACAGUUGUAUGCAUCAACGUGGUGCUGGCGCUGCUGCUGCUGCUGUGGAUGAAGAUAGCAAAUCUUGCCGGAACGUCAGUUCGCAGUGACGUUCUGUUCGUGUUUGCGCACCCGGAUGACGAGGCAAUGUUUUUCACGCCACUCCUGCAUUCGCUGCGGGCGCAGCGGGUCACGGUGCAUUUUCUGUGCCUGUCCAACGGCAACUACGCCGGGAUGGGAAAGGAGCGUGAGAAGGAGCUGUACGCCAGUGGCGCUUUCUUUGGUGUGCAGCGGCGUAACAUCCGAGUCGUCGACCACGCUGACUUGCAAGACGGCAUGUGUAAUAUCUGGAGCCCUUUGCUUAUUCGCAGAGAGAUCGAGUCAUACAUGCAGAAAGCCGGCAGCAUCAGCACCAUUGUUACAUUUGACAAGUACGGUGUCUCUGGCCAUCCUAACCACAUUGCCGUACACAAUGGCGUGCGGGAGCUCAAGGAGAACAUGCCUCCAGGGCUCCUCCACCUGCAGCUCAGAACACGGAGUCUGCUGUGGAAGUACGUUGGACUGCUGGCGGUUCUCCCUUAUGUCCUGUGGUCAUCCACAUGCGUUAGCCGCACCAGCUUUGUCGCCGUCAUUCCACCCGCAUCAGUCUGGGAGAGCAUGGCCGCGAUGCGCAAGCACGCCGGUCAGCUUGUCUGGUUUCGGUAUUUGUUUGUCAUUUUCUCUUCGUACACGUACGUGAAUGAGAUCGAAGAGCUCUAGCUGGAGGGAAGGGGGGCAGAGGAGGCGGAGUGCAAGGCGUGGCAAGACUGCGUAGAGCAGAGGGUAAGAUGAAUGAGCCACUGUCGGCUGAUGCUCACGUGCACGAGAACUUUAUGCUCUUUUCGGUUUGGAGCUUUUGCAUUAUUGUGAAAAACACCGCUUGUCUUUGUGUUUAUCGACAGGUGAGAAAUUUUUCCUUGAUGGACUGCCUUGGUGCCUCAGAG